AAAUCCGUACAAUUCCCCUUGAGUUGAUCUGGCUCGAAUCACGCUGGCGGCGUGCCUAACACAUGCAAGUCGAGCGAGAAAAGGGGAGCAAUCCCCUGAGUAAAGCGGCGCACGGGUGAGUAACACGUGGGUAAUCUGCCCUGGAGUGGGGAAUAACACCGGGAAACCGGUGCUAAUACCGCAUACGAUAAUGAUGUCUGCGGACGUUGUUAUGAAAGGAGCAAUUCGCUCCAGGAGGAGCCCGCGGCUGAUUAGCUAGUUGGUGAGGUAAUGGCUCACCAAGGCAACGAUCAGUAGCCGGUCUGAGAGGACGGUCGGCCACACUGGAACUGAGACACGGUCCAGACUCCUACGGGAGGCAGCAGUGGGGAAUUUUUGGCAAUGGGGGAAACCCUGACCAAGCAACGCCGCGUGGAUGAUGAAGUAUCUCGGUACGUAAAAUCCUUUCGACAGGGAAGAAACCCGCAAGGGUUGACGGUACCUGUAGAAGAAGCCCCGGCUAACUCCGUGCCAGCAGCCCGGUAAUACGGGGGGGGCAAGCGUUGUUCGGAAUUACUGGGCGUAAAGGGCGCGUAGGCGGUCAGCACAAGUCAGUUGUGAAAUCUCCGGGCUUAACUCGGAAAGGUCAACUGAUACUGUGCGACUAGAGUGCAGAAGGGGCAACUGGAAUUCUCGGUGUAGCGGUGAAAUGCGUAGAUAUCGAGAGGAACACCUGCGGCGAAAGCGGGGUGCUGGGCUGACACUGACGCUGAGGCC
This 756-nucleotide ribosomal RNA is filed under the name uncultured bacterium. RNAcentral describes it as "bacterial SSU rRNA". It matches the Rfam family "Bacterial small subunit ribosomal RNA", at positions 1 to 753 of the family's 1533-position model. The record is from RNAcentral.